GCUCGCUGGUGGAGUCCGGGCUGCCGCGACCCGAGUUCGAGCCGUGGGACGAGCCGGUCGGCUCGGUCGACGAGCU
This 76-nucleotide transfer RNA is filed under the name Actinocatenispora comari. Its description in RNAcentral is "tRNA-Ser". Lineage: Bacteria; Bacillati; Actinomycetota; Actinomycetes; Micromonosporales; Micromonosporaceae. The record is from RNAcentral.